GGAGGUAUAGCUCAUUGGUAAAGCGCGUGUUUAGCAUCCAUGAGGUCCUGGGUUCAAUCCCCAGUACCUCCA
RNAcentral lists this transfer RNA (72 nucleotides) under Camelus bactrianus (Bactrian camel). It matches the Rfam family "tRNA". From Rfam's summary of the family: Transfer RNA (tRNA) molecules are approximately 80 nucleotides in length. Their secondary structure includes four short double-helical elements and three loops (D, anti-codon, and T loops). RNAcentral also lists the same sequence under 1 other name. The record is from Rfam by way of RNAcentral. Lineage: Eukaryota; Metazoa; Chordata; Mammalia; Artiodactyla; Camelidae.